AGUAGCUCAGCGGUAGAGCGCUUGCCUAGCAAGCACAAGGCCCUGGGUUCGGUCCCCAGCU
This 61-nucleotide transfer RNA is filed under the name Rattus norvegicus (Norway rat). It matches the Rfam family "tRNA", at positions 6 to 65 of the family's 71-position model. Rfam says of the family: Transfer RNA (tRNA) molecules are approximately 80 nucleotides in length. Their secondary structure includes four short double-helical elements and three loops (D, anti-codon, and T loops). Further hydrogen bonds mediate the characteristic L-shaped molecular structure. tRNAs have two regions of fundamental functional importance: the anti-codon, which is responsible for specific mRNA codon recognition, and the 3' end, to which the tRNAs corresponding amino acid is attached (by aminoacyl-tRNA synthetases). tRNAs cope with the degeneracy of the genetic code in two manners: having more than one tRNA (with a specific anti-codon) for a particular amino acid; and 'wobble' base-pairing, i.e. permitting non-standard base-pairing at the 3rd anti-codon position. The record is from Rfam by way of RNAcentral. Lineage: Eukaryota; Metazoa; Chordata; Mammalia; Rodentia; Muridae.